CUCCCGUAACACGUUCACCCGCCACAGAAGAGGAGGUGGGUAAGAUGUAGUGUCGGCGGUGUGUUGGGAUAGUCCUAGUGGAGGGUGAGGAGAGAGAGUAAGAGGAUCUAGGCGGUGGCGGGGGAGGGGGUGGUUGGGGGACGGCCACACACUGGAGAGGGCAGUAGAGCGACCGGCCGCUCGGACGGCGGAGGGAAGUGGCGGUGGUCGAGGGGUCGUACCGAAUGGAGGGAGAAGGGGCGAAGGAUGUGACGUAGAGGUAGCCCGGGAGGAGCUGGGGGAGAAGAAGAGGGGCCGGAGCAGGUGGCGUAGCCCGUGGGUACCUAGACGGCGGUGAAGAGUUCCCCACGGGAGACUACUGGCUAAGUACCACGACGGUCGGUCUAGGCGCGCCACUGGGUCCCCAUGACUACGGCACGUGGGUCGGCGGCGGUGCGGGCUGGUGGUCCCGUUGAUCUGCCACGAGGGCAGACGCUCUUUUAGUGGGCGCGCCCGUUCCGCGACUCGCGGCACGACCACUGCCACGAUGAUGCGGACCGGCGGUAGUGCCUGCACUAACAGCGGAGAUUGCGAGGGCGGAUGGCUCACCGCGACCUCGUGGGUACGGAGAAGGUACGGCUGGAGGCAAGGUACGAAGCGGGGCAGCCGCGGGACGAGCAGCGGAAGGAGGAGCCUAGGAAAUGCGUGAUGUAGUUGAGGCUGGACACAGUGACGGCAGUUGGAGGAGAGGUCGCCGUUCUAUUAAACCAGUACCACUGGGUAUACUACCGCUAAACGAGACCGGUAGAAUCAAGACCGCCACCACCACCGCGACGAGGAUACUACCAUCCGAGCAGACGGAGGGGACCGGCGGCGGCACCACUACUUCGAGCCGGAUCCGAUGUUGGGGGAGGCUACUAACUACUCGACUAGAAGAAGGUGGUCAACAUCGCCCUCACUACGACCUCGUCAUGUUGCUAGUAAUCUAUGUACACGGUAAACCCGUCCCUCUUCGACCCUGCCGGGAUUCAUUGUGGUGGUACACCGUUUAGGUCGUCUACCUGUGUUGUAACCACGGACCCACUACCCUAUUACAUACACAUGGUCACUGUACUAUAAACACGAAGAGCAGGUUAGAUAUAACAACACGUGAACACAUGAACAACCCGGAAAAACGGCACGUGAACGUUAAAAUCUUGAUAAAAAAACAACAACACGUGAAGAACCAGGAACUUGGAACGACACAUAUCCUCAGUUACCUACUACAUAACAUAAAGGAUACUACACAAUGACUUUACUUUAUAUGACAAAAAAA
This 1294-nucleotide ribosomal RNA is filed under the name Triticum aestivum (bread wheat). RNAcentral's name for it is "partial small subunit ribosomal RNA". The record is from RNAcentral. Lineage: Eukaryota; Viridiplantae; Streptophyta; Magnoliopsida; Poales; Poaceae.